UCCCUUCUCCCUCUCUUUUCCCUUUUCUCUCUCUCACUAUACUGCCGUGGCCGCCGCCUCCCAUUGUCGCUGUCCAUCUCCGCCGCACUCUUCCCCGCCGUCGCUUUCUGCCGCCGCCUCCGCCGCACUCUUCCACGGCUAUGCAUCUCGCGGAGAUCUUCGCCUAAUCCACGAGCUAGGGUUUCUGUCGGAAGAUCAAUUCUCGCCGGGGUUUUGUUGGGGGAGACGUAAUCGCCGGCAACCAUGGCCACCAACUUGCAGAUGAGUCCUCAGGUGGAGCAGAUCCACGGUGAAAUCCGUGACAAACUUUCGAGCACUUGCGUAUGUGUCUUUCUGUAUUAUGCAGUGGACCAAUUGCUCAGAUGGCAAAGUAGAAGAAUUGGUUCAAGAAGAUUCUCGAGUAGAUCACUAUCCAAAGUUGGUGAAGGGUGAUCAAACGUGGUAUGGGAAUGGCAAGCUGAAGCGUAGUCCUACCUUAUUUGUUCAAAGAAGCUGAGAAAGAUAUCUUGUUUAUGUUUACAGCAGCAAGGGGCGGCAUUGGUGAAAGUGUGACCUGCAAGAUCAUUGGUGUAAGGGUGUUAUCUUGUGGCUAAUAGUUCCUUUUGAUUUUCAUGAGAAUGGCUGCAGAUUUUCAGUGUACCUAAAUGGAAGCUUGAAAUAGUUGUACAGUAUCUUUGGAAAUACAUAACUAAGGUAGUCCACCGCUAGACUAUUUGAAAAUCUUUCAUAGUUGUACGUUAUCUUUGAAACUGUUGCACUUGGAAAUGCUGAAAUUGAUAUUUACUAUAUGAAAUUGGAUUUGGAUGCUUUUGGUGAGUGUGCAUGUCUUUUUUUUUUUAGGCAUCAAUGUAUGUUAUCCAAUUAUAGAGAUGUAUCUAUAGAUUUUAUAAUGUUGCUGAAUUGUAUGGAAAGUAAACAAGCUUUUUACAGUUUGACUGAGAAUGGAACAAAAUAUUUUAUUUAAAAAUUUUCACUAAACAUCCUUAUCAUUAUGUGCUUUCUUUUGACUCUGUAAGAACAAAUAAUGACCUCUAUCUAUGUAAUAUAGUAUCAGCUGUUAUGUUACUUAUUCUUAAUCACUGGAUUUCAAGAAUUUGUAUGGAGAUCUAUUUGCGGGUGCAAUAUGGACAGCCACUGAAGAACAAGAAAAUAAUGGGAAUUUCAGCACUAACAGAAUUCCCUUCAAUUGUGCAAAUGAUUCUCCUGUAAAAUAUGACACCAUACCUGGAAGCUCCCUUCCAGCUUUAGGCUACAUCUUUUCAUUUGGUGAAAACAAGAAGAAAGAUAUUUAUAUCCUUGCAAGCACUGGUGUUUACCGAGUUGUUCCUCCAAGUCGCUGCAAUUAUGCUUGCUCACUGGAAAAGGUUAGGCAACAUCAGCGUCGUGCAGUGCAAGAUUUAAUGUUGAUGAGCACAAGAGCCAAGGCAAUGGUCUUAGCCUCAAAAGCAAGCAAGUCUCUUCGGAGCCGAAGUUAAUAGAAUUCUGAAAUCACAUGUAUUUUUUUAGUUACCCUACAAUGUAUUAGUAACUUCUUUUAUAUAUGCAACAAAAAA
Molecule: long non-coding RNA, 1553 nt
Organism: Gastrolobium bilobum
Lineage: Eukaryota; Viridiplantae; Streptophyta; Magnoliopsida; Fabales; Fabaceae
Exons: 3
Source: RefSeq, a predicted model, not a curated record